GUGCCAGCCGCCGCGGUAAUACAGAGGGUGCAAGCGUUAUCCGGAAUUACUGGGUUUAAAGGGUGCGUAGGCGGUUUGAUAAGUCAGUUGUGAAAGGCAGUCGCUUAACGAUUGGAUUGCAAUUGAUACUGUUAGACUAGAAUUAGGUGGAGGUAUGCGGAAUGUGACGUGUAGCGGUGAAAUGCUUAGAUAUGUCAUAGAACACCGAUUGCGAAGGCAGCGUACUAUACCUUAAUUGACGCUGAGGCACGAAAGCGUGGGUAGCGAACAGGAUUAGAUACCCUGGUAGUCCACGCCCUAAACGAUGUCAACUGGUUGUUGGGUGCAUUAGUACUCAGUAACGAAG
Molecule: ribosomal RNA, 346 nt
Filed under: Pseudomonas prosekii
Lineage: Bacteria; Pseudomonadati; Pseudomonadota; Gammaproteobacteria; Pseudomonadales; Pseudomonadaceae
Description: bacterial SSU rRNA
Rfam family: Bacterial small subunit ribosomal RNA
Source: RNAcentral